ACUUCCGUCUUUCAGCAAACGAACGGACGAACGCCGGGCCAAUCGACCUCUCGGGCCAGCCCAAUAUCCACGGCUCUCACAGCAGAGGCUCCUACGGCGCGCAACCCUAAUUCAGUCCCCACCCCACAGUCUCCGACGUCCCCGGCUUAACCGGAGGGCAGCGGCCUCGCGGGCCUUUUUCCUCCCCCAACCUCGUCCUGCGCGUCAGAGCCCCGCGUCUUCCCCCUCAGGCUUCCAUCUGGCCGCCAUCUUGCCGCCCAGUCCUCUGCCUCGGGGCAGCCGCGGUCCGCGCGGGCCACGGAAACCAAACGUCUGGGCCGCGGGGCUGCCUCUCGCCCCGUCUCGCCUCCAGCCUCCCGUCCCCGACCGGGUGCGGCGGCUUUCUCCUCACCAGCGGUGGUGGCGGCAGUCCUCACACAGCAGACGGAACUCGCAGUCUCCACGGAACUAGCUGCGGCACGCCCGGCGUCUCUUUAUAUAGUCACCGAAGCCCCGCCCCCCCCCUUCCGCGCGGUCCCUCCGCGGGCAAUGCGGUCAGGGACUACUUUGUAACGCCGGGUCCAGUCUCGGCAGCGAAAGCGACAGGCUAAAACUAUCAAGGUACCUCUCUCACGGAGUUGUUUCACGGUGGCGUCCAGAGAUUGAGGGGCUUUGUGUGGGAGGGCAGGGCUGUGACCUCGGGCGACUCCGCGGAGGGAUCAGCGCGCGUGAGACGAUCGGCACGAAAACACGGCUGGGAUCACUGAGGCCGGAGCGGGCCUUGGCGCAGGCGCCCUGCGGCUUCGCGGCCUGGCGCCCCUAGUCAGGCCACCACCCCCCACCCCCCCUGUUUUCUUUCCGCGCUAGGGGGACCCAGGGCUUUGGCUCCUGUCACACUGGGAUCCCAUUGGUGACCUCGCCUCCUCAAUCCCCUCAUCCCCGGCGGGUCACUAUGCCCAGCCCUCACUGUUUUGGCACAGUGACAGGGUGGAUGACUGUGCAAAUCUCCUAACAAGGAAAAUGACAAAGGGUUUUUAAUAAAUUUAAAAAAAAAAAAUACGAAGGAGGGAAUCUCUCCCCGAUUUGGAAAAACGAAUCUGAGUUUGUCAAGGAAAGCAGACAGUCUACACAGUUCUUGAAAACUGUUGGCAUUAGAUCUGAAGCCCAGCAGAACCUGAUCUUUCCAGAUUUUUCCUAAACCUUGUGUCCUUGGAUUCGAGAAGGUUCUAUGUUUUCUAUGUGCUUGUCACUAAGUAAAGGUCAAAAUUUCCAAA
RNAcentral lists this long non-coding RNA (1253 nucleotides) under Mus musculus (house mouse). RNAcentral describes it as "predicted gene 10382 (Gm10382)". Lineage: Eukaryota; Metazoa; Chordata; Mammalia; Rodentia; Muridae. The record is from RNAcentral.